AGAGUUUGAUCAUGGCUCAGAUUGAACGCUGGCGGCAGGCCUAGCACAUGCAAGUCGAACGGUAACAGGAAACAGCUUGCUGUUUCGCUGACGAGUGGCGGACGGGUGAGUAAUGUCUGGGAAACUGCCUGAUGGAGGGGGAUAACUACUGGAAACGGUAGCUAAUACCGCAUAACGUCGCAAGACCAAAGAGGGGGACCUUCGGGCCUCUUGCCAUCAGAUGUGCCCAGAUGGGAUUAGCUAGUAGGUGGGGUAACGGCUCACCUAGGCGACGAUCCCUAGCUGGUCUGAGAGGAUGACCAGCCACACUGGAACUGAGACACGGUCCAGACUCCUACGGGAGGCAGCAGUGGGGAAUAUUGCACAAUGGGCGCAAGCCUGAUGCAGCCAUGCCGCGUGUAUGAAGAAGGCCUUCGGGUUGUAAAGUACUUUCAGCGGGGAGGAUGGGAGUAAAGUUAAUACCUUUGCUCAUUGACGUUACCCGCAGAAGAAGCACCGGCUAACUCCGUGCCAGCAGCCGCGGUAAUACGGAGGGUGCAAGCGUUAAUCGGAAUUACUGGGCGUAAAGCGCACGCAGGCGGUUUGUUAAGUCAGAUGUGAAAUCCCCGGGCUCAACCUGGGAACUGCAUCUGAUACUGGCAAGCUUGAGUCUCGUAGAGGGGGGUAGAAUUCCAGGUGUAGCGGUGAAAUGCGUAGAGAUCUGGAGGAAUACCGGUGGCGAAGGCGGCCCCCUGGACGAAGACUGACGCUCAGGUGCGAAAGCGUGGGGAGCAAACAGGAUUAGAUACCCUGGUAGUCCACGCCGUAAACGAUGUCGACUUGGAGGUUGUGCCCUUGAGGCGUGGCUUCCGGAGCUAACGCGUUAAGUCGACCGCCUGGGGAGUACGGCCGCAAGGUUAAAACUCAAAUGAAUUGACGGGGGCCCGCACAAGCGGUGGAGCAUGUGGUUUAAUUCGAUGCAACGCGAAGAACCUUACCUGGUCUUGACAUCCACGGAAGUUUUCAGAGAUGAGAAUGUGCCUUCGGGAACCGUGAGACAGGUGCUGCAUGGCUGUCGUCAGCUCGUGUUGUGAAAUGUUGGGUUAAGUCCCGCAACGAGCGCAACCCUUAUCCUUUGUUGCCAGCGGUCCGGCCGGGAACUCAAAGGAGACUGCCAGUGAUAAACUGGAGGAAGGUGGGGAUGACGUCAAGUCACCAUGGCCCUUACGACCAGGGCUACACACGUGCUACAAUGGCGCAUACAAAGAGAAGCGACCUCGCGAGAGCAAGCGGACCUCAUAAAGUGCGUCGUAGUCCGGAUUGGAGUCUGCAACUCGACUCCAUGAAGUCGGAAUCGCUAGUAAUCGUGGAUCAGAAUGCCACGGUGAAUACGUUCCCGGGCCUUGUACACACCGCCCGUCACACCAUGGGAGUGGGUUGCAAAAGAAGUAGGUAGCUUAACCUUCGGGAGGGCGCUUACCACUUUGUGAUUCAUGACUGGGGUGAAGUCGUAACAAGGUAACCGUAGGGGAACCUGCGGUUG
Molecule: ribosomal RNA, 1522 nt
Filed under: metagenome
Description: bacterial SSU rRNA
Rfam family: Bacterial small subunit ribosomal RNA
Source: RNAcentral